Ornithodoros turicata is the source of this 528-nucleotide long non-coding RNA. RefSeq lists it as uncharacterized. The record is from RefSeq and is a predicted model, not a curated record. The transcript is spliced from 2 exons. NCBI's taxonomy places the organism in Eukaryota, Metazoa, Arthropoda, Arachnida, Ixodida, Argasidae.
CGUAGCUGCAAUAUAAAGCCACCUCGUUUGAGCUAUCCCUCGGAGGAAAGGUUGCUAUAGCCGAGGUUGACUUUCUUUAUUAUACGUGUUUGUUCUGCUGUAGCAUGCAACACAGAAUGAAGUUUGUCCUUGUGCUGUGCAUGGCAAUCUUCUUGACCAUCUUAAGCUCUGUUGCAGGGGAAAGGCAGUUUCAUCAAAACCAAGCAGUUAUAACAGCAUUCGAAAACCUGGUGGAUCGUGCAAGCUUGGCACUUGCGCAGGAGCGAAUUUGGCUGCCACCGUAGCAACCCUCCUCGCUAAAGGAAAGGACACAGCUCCUGCUCGGAAAAUUGGCGCUUACGGCUACGGCCGAAGGAAGAGAAGGUCCCUUCAAGAAAAGAAAAAUCUCCUGUCACUGGUCGCUGGAAGAAGGGUGGCAGGUUGACGUAGACCAGUCGGGUUAUAUCUGCCCGAUCAGCGGGCAACUUUGCUCUGGAAGUCACACCAAGCUCUACAUGUCCGCGCUUGGAAAAUAAAAAUGAAAGUAUU